This is a long non-coding RNA of Mirounga angustirostris (Northern elephant seal), 196 nucleotides long. RefSeq lists it as uncharacterized. Lineage: Eukaryota; Metazoa; Chordata; Mammalia; Carnivora; Phocidae. The record is from RefSeq and is a predicted model, not a curated record. The transcript has 2 exons.
CAGUUUACUGUUCGUUGUUUGACCUUCCAUACCCUUGGACCAGUUCAGGCACUGUGGGGAAAAAAAAAAUCCAUUAAACCAGGAGUCACCUUGCCCCAGAUCCCAGCCAGGUUGGAAGGUGCACACACAUAUUUCCAAAGUGAAUAAUCAAGAAAGCAACUCCUUAAAGCGACGCUGGAAUGUCGGGAGAAAAGAG